GUGCUUGCUUCAGCAGCACAGAGACUAGAAUUGGAAUGAUACAGAGAGGAUCAGCAUGGCGCCAGCACAAGGAUGACACACAAAUUUGUGAAGUCUUCGAUAUUUAA
Molecule: small nuclear RNA, 107 nt
Organism: Hyaena hyaena (striped hyena)
Lineage: Eukaryota; Metazoa; Chordata; Mammalia; Carnivora; Hyaenidae
Source: RefSeq, a predicted model, not a curated record